RNA transcript from Mirounga angustirostris (Northern elephant seal), 3220 nucleotides. It is a transcript of the gene named cathepsin C, with no coding region annotated. The record is from RefSeq and is a predicted model, not a curated record. NCBI's taxonomy places the organism in Eukaryota, Metazoa, Chordata, Mammalia, Carnivora, Phocidae. The transcript has 5 exons.
GGGUUUCCGGCAGCUCCGGCUAUUUUCAGGCACGCGGUGUUCGAAUCGUCUAGCUUUCGGCCCUCUGCUGUCUGGCUACGGAUCUCGCCUUUUCCCCUCCGGAGCCCCCCCCAGCAUGGGUCCCUGGCCCCGCUUGCUGCUGGCCGCCUUCCUCCUGCUCUUGUCCGGCGUCGGCACCGCGCACUGCGACACACCGGCCAACUGCACUUACCCUGACCUGCUGGGCACAUGGGUCUUCCAGGUGGGCGCUGUUGGUUCCCAACGCAACGUCAACUGCUCGGUCAUGGGACCACCAGAAAAAAAAGUAGUGGUGCAUCUUGAGAAGCUGGACACAGCACGUGAUGAUCUUGGCAAUACCGGCCAUUUCACCAUCAUUUACAAUCAAGGCUUUGAGAUUGUGUUGAACGACUACAAGUGGUUUGCCUUUUUUAAGGAUGUCACUGAUUUUAUCAGUCAGUUGUUCAUGCAGCUGGGAACUGUGAGGGUACAUGAUUUGAGACAUCUGAGGAACAAACUGGGGGGAUACCUCUAUUAGAAGAUUACCACCACCCCCCACACCGCUAGUAUUUGCUCUGUAAAUGAGAUAAAUAGCCUUGUACCUGGAAAUAUGGAUCAAAGCAGCAUUAAGCCUCCCUGUAGAAUUUGAAAGUUGUUACAUAGAGCAUCUGUUGAGGGGCUCUUUCAAAACAACAGCCAAGCACAGUCUUUGGGGCUAAGAGGCAGAGCAGCAUUCAGCCAUGGACCUGCCUCCCUCUAACAGGUAGCAGAGGCCUCUGACAGCUACAUUCCCUUCUGGAGUCUUUCUGUGCCUGUAAAAUGCUGAGCAGUCCUGGUGACCUACCUCCAAGGCAGCUGCCCUCCGGAACAUUUCCUUGGAAAGCAGCAACCGCCAUUUUGAAAUGUGAACAACCAGAGACUACACAGGAAAAAGGAAAGAAAAGUCUGGAAGUCUUAGGUGGCUUCACCAGCCUUUGAAUGAAAGGAAAGAUGCGCAACUCAAGUUUUUCCCUUCGAAUAUUACUCUAUUGAAAUUAUUUUUUCCAAACUGAUUAGGAUUUGAAUUUUGUGUUUAAUUUUGUUCAUAGUGCAAAUUUUAUUCCCAGUUAAAUUAUCUUCGUGUGUGCCUUCUUUCUCUAAUUACCUUGAGGAACCCCAGCACCUAAUGUAAGGAGAAAAUGCUUCAGGAUAACUCGAGAUGCAGAUAUGUUAUUGGUGGAAAGAUGGUUUUGUGGAGGACUUCGUUGGGGGAACAGGUUUGCUGAGAUAAGUCAAACUGCUGAAAGCUAUCUUUGCAGAUCAUAGGCCUGCAUUACCCUGGCCAGAAAGAUGGGGUGAUUAAUACUUCUUUUUUUUUUUUUUUUUGCCUAUUUUUUGAUUAGAUGCCAGCUUUGUACUAAGAACUUGAUGUGCUUUACCUUACAAGAAUCUUUUGAAGUAGAUAUUACUAGCUUCAUUUUCUAGAUGGGGAAAAUGAGUCUCUUAUAAUGCUUAAACUCACAUGGUAUCUAAUUGUAAAAUGACAAGGGCUAGUCUCUCAAGCCUAAGGACCUCCUUGGGGCUAAAGAGUAAAAGAGGGCACCUGGGUGGCUCAGUCGUUAAGCGUCUGCCUUCGGCUCAGGUCAUGAUCCCAGGGUCCUGGGAUUGAGUCCCACAUCGGGCUCCCUGCUCGGCAGGAAGCCUGCUUCUCCCGCUCCCCCUGCUUGUGUUCUCUCUCUCGCUGUGUCUCUCUCUAUCAAAUAAAUAAAUAAAAUUAAAUUUAAAAAAAGUAAAAGAAAAGCCAUUUCACAAAGAAGUAAUGGUACUUGGAGUAGCAUUUCAAUAGAUUUUCUGGUGAAUCCCAGUUUGUAAGCAUCUUGAAGGCUAGUUUAAUAGAAUUAAUUGCAUUGCGUUGACUCCUUUUGAAAUUUUAGGAGAACUGGCUUAAAGCUUACAUUUCCUUACCAAAUUAGGCUAUUCCCUUUCUUUCCUAAACCAGGGUCCUUUUCAAAAGGAAAACUUACCUUCUUUCCUUUUCUAGUCCUCCAACUUGGGAGGAGAGCUUUGUAAGCUUCAAAUUAAUUACAAAUUAAGUACCCUUGCCAAGUUGACUUCUUGCAGUUACACUAUUGUUCACACUGAUUGCUAUCUUUCAGCUCUUUCCUACUAAACAAUGGACUGUUUCCUGCUCAGUUCAGUAAACUGAAAAUGUGGGGCUACACCUAGUCCCUGUUUUCUGGGAGGGCUUUUCUCCUGUAUCUUUGCUUCGAUGGAGGAAUCUCUAGAUACCGGAUUUUUAUCAUUAUUUUAUUGGUUUAGAUAAUUUUUUAUGACCUCUGAGAGGCACUGGUCUGCUAUUCUGGGCAGGUCAUGUCUUAGAAAGGUGAAGUAACUGUACACGUGACUGCUUCUACCUUGGUACUUUCUUCCAUCCUACCUCUGGACCUGAUCAUUCGUCACUCAGGACCUUGAUGCGGCCUCUGUGAGACCCUCCCCAGUGCUCUCCAUUUGUGGGAGAGAUGCCGUUAUUUGAUUCACGUUGUGCUUUGCAGUCACCUCUGCUCAGGUAGUACUGUUCUAACUGCUGUAGACAUGGAGUGAUUUUGAUAGCACGUUUUCACCUUCUUCCAGAUUGAAAAUCUGUCGAUCUCCCUGUGUGUCUUCAGAACCCAAUUACCCAGGACUUGAUAAGUGUUUGGAAAAUUGACCACACUUCUCUUGUCUCUUCAAAGGCUUUUCACAAGUAUUAUCAGCUUGCAAAGAAUUAAUUCUAUAGGAUUCUAGAAGCACAAAUCAGGAACGAUGCUAUGUUUAUAUUUUUGGUUCUGUGUUCUAAAAAAUAAGGUUACCCGUCUCCAGAGUUCUAAAAGAGUGGUGUAUUUUCAACCUAAUUUCCAGGAUGCGAAUACUGACAAAGCAGCUAAUGUGUAUAAGAAUGUAUUUCAUAUUGAAUUUAAAAUCACCUCUACUAAAGUCUUUUUUUUUUUCUAUAUCUCUGAGCAACUUUGCACGUAAAUGUUUUGAUUAUGGAGAAGACUUGGUGGGUACAGAAUUAUAGAUAUUUGUGUUAGGAGGCGCCAUAAUAUAAUACUGCUUAGCAUUCUCUGUCAUAAUUGUUUGUCUUCUCUAAUCUUUAAAUUCAGAGGGCAGGAAUGUACUCUGUAUUAUUAACCAUUUUGUUCCCUGUAUAUAGUGUGAUAUGUGAUAAAUAGACCUUUAAUAAAUGUCUGUAGAAGAAAGAAAA